Molecule: transfer RNA, 61 nt
Filed under: Artemia sinica
Lineage: Eukaryota; Metazoa; Arthropoda; Branchiopoda; Anostraca; Artemiidae
Description: tRNA-Pro
Rfam family: tRNA
About the family: Transfer RNA (tRNA) molecules are approximately 80 nucleotides in length. Their secondary structure includes four short double-helical elements and three loops (D, anti-codon, and T loops).
Source: RNAcentral
CAAAAGGUAGUUUAACAAAAACAUUAACUUUGGAAGUUAAAGAUGUUUAUAACUCUUUUGA